Molecule: non-coding RNA, 105 nt
Organism: Acanthosepion pharaonis
Lineage: Eukaryota; Metazoa; Mollusca; Cephalopoda; Sepiida; Sepiidae
Source: the annotation of a GenBank genome assembly
UACCAUGUUGAAACACCAGUUCUUGUCCGAUCCCUGAAGUUAAGCAACAUGGAGCCUGGUCAGUACCUAAGUGAGUGACCACUUGGGAAUACCAGGUGCUGUAAG